Pseudopipra pipra is the source of this 472-nucleotide long non-coding RNA. RefSeq lists it as uncharacterized. Lineage: Eukaryota; Metazoa; Chordata; Aves; Passeriformes; Pipridae. The record is from RefSeq and is a predicted model, not a curated record. The transcript is spliced from 3 exons.
CCAGAUGGAGGUUCCAGUUCAGGAAAAUAUUAAAACAGAGAUUUCAAAGGGACUUCAUAAAAUGCUUGAAGUGAUAUUUUAAUGUAAUAACAAGAGAUUUGGAAAUAAAUCACCAAAGCUAUAAAACUCAUAUAUGCAUGUCCCAUGCUGAUUGUAACACAACUUGUUUACCAAGGAAGAGGAAGUCUUGCUUACAUGGCAGAAAGCAAGGGGAAAAGAGUUUCUCUUUGUCAUUUACUAGACAGACCUGCCAGUGACAAAUAAAUGCUGGCAGCACGAAGCAACUGUUGUGACACAGCCUGUCAGGCAAGUAAAUCUGGGCCUUGGGCUUUCACCACUUUGGGCUCCUGGUGACAGGUGUCCAAGUGGCUGCUGCCUGACUAGUCUGCUUGUAUCCAUAAAACCUCACACCACUAAGUCACAGCAAAGAGACUUGACAUCCAGUGAGAACCUGUAACAAGACUAAUACAGA